CAAAUCAGGUAGGACUACCCGCUGAACUUAAGCAUAUCAAUAAGCGGAGGAAAAGAAACUAACAAGGAUUCCCCUAGUAACUGCGAGUGAAGCGGGAAAAGCUCAAAUUUAAAAUCUGGCAGUCUUGGGCUGUCCGAGUUGUAAUCUAGAGAAGUGUUAUCCGCGCUGGACCGUGUACAAGUCUCCUGGAAUGGAGCGUCAUAGAGGGUGAGAAUCCCGUCUUUGACACGGACUACCAGGGCUUUGUGAUGCGCUCUCAAAGAGUCGAGUUGUUUGGGAAUGCAGCUCAAAAUGGGUGGUAAAUUCCAUCUAAAGCUAAAUAUUGGCGAGAGACCGAUAGCGAACAAGUACCGUGAGGGAAAGAUGAAAAGAACUUUGGAAAGAGAGUUAAACAGUACGUGAAAUUGCUGAAAGGGAAACGCUUGAAGUCAGUCAUGUUGGCCAGGAAUUAGCCCAGCAUUUUUCUUGCUGGGUGCACAGUCCUGGUUUGGCAGGUCAGCAUCAAUUUUGACCAAUGGAUAAAAGUGUGGGGAAUGUGGCAUCUUUUUUGAUGUGUUAUAGACUCAUGCUGGAUGUAUUGGUUGGGAUUGAGGAAUUCAGCACGCCGAAAGGCCGGGAGUUUAUCCACGUUCGUGCUUAGGAUGCUGGCAUAAUGGCUUUAAUCGACCCGUCUUGAAACACGGACCAAGGAGUCUAACAUGCAUGCGAGUAUUUGGGUGGAAAACCCAUGUGCGCAAUGAAAGUGAAAAUUA
Molecule: ribosomal RNA, 752 nt
Filed under: Squamanita sp.
Lineage: Eukaryota; Fungi; Basidiomycota; Agaricomycetes; Agaricales; Squamanitaceae
Description: partial large subunit ribosomal RNA
Rfam family: Eukaryotic large subunit ribosomal RNA
Source: RNAcentral